UCCUUUGCAUGGGCUCCAGGUCCUGC
Molecule: non-coding RNA, 26 nt
Filed under: Homo sapiens (human)
Lineage: Eukaryota; Metazoa; Chordata; Mammalia; Primates; Hominidae
Source: RNAcentral